RNAcentral lists this ribosomal RNA (484 nucleotides) under uncultured bacterium. RNAcentral's name for it is "partial 16S ribosomal RNA". It matches the Rfam family "Bacterial small subunit ribosomal RNA", at positions 30 to 507 of the family's 1533-position model. The record is from RNAcentral.
AUUGAACGCUGGCGGCAGGCCUAACACAUGCAAGUCGAGCGGAUGAAGGGAGCUUGCUCCUGGAUUCAGCGGCGGACGGGUGAGUAAUGCCUAGGAAUCUGCCUGGUAGUGGGGGAUAACGUCCGGAAACGGGCGCUAAUACCGCAUACGUCCUGAGGGAGAAAGUGGGGGAUCUUCGGACCUCACGCUAUCAGAUGAGCCUAGGUCGGAUUAGCUAGUUGGAGAGGUAAAGGCCUACCAAGGCGACGAUCCGUAACUGGUCUGAGAGGAUGAUCAGUCACACUGGAACUGAGACACGGUCCAGACUCCUACGGGAGGCAGCAGUGGGGAAUAUUGGACAAUGGGCGAAAGCCUGAUCCAGCCAUGCCGCGUGUGUGAAGAAGGUCUUCGGAUUGUAAAGCACUUUAAGUUGGGAGGAAGGGCAGUAAGUUAAUACCUUGCUGUUUUGACGUUACCAACAGAAUAAGCACCGGCUAACUUCGUG